GACGAACGCUGGCGGCGUGCUUAACACAUGCAAGUCGAACGGAAAGGCCCUGCUUUUGUGGGGUGCUCGAGUGGCGAACGGGUGAGUAACACGUGAGUAACCUGCCCUUGACUUUGGGAUAACUUCAGGAAACUGGGGCUAAUACCGGAUAGGAGCUCCUGCUGCAUGGUGGGGGUUGGAAAGUUUCGGCGGUUGGGGAUGGACUCGCGGCUUAUCAGCUUGUUGGUGGGGUAGUGGCUUACCAAGGCUUUGACGGGUAGCCGGCCUGCGAGGGUGACCGGCCACAUUGGGACUGAGAUACGGCCCAGACUCGAACGGUACGCAGCAGUGGAGAAUAUGGCACAAGGGGCGGAAGGCAGAUGUAGCAACGCCGCGUGCGGUAAGACGUCCUUCGGGUUGUAAACCACUGUCGCCUGUGACGAGGCGUUAGUGACGGUAACGGGUAAAGAAGCACCGGCUAACUACGUG
RNAcentral lists this ribosomal RNA (468 nucleotides) under uncultured bacterium. Its description in RNAcentral is "partial 16S ribosomal RNA". It matches the Rfam family "Bacterial small subunit ribosomal RNA", at positions 28 to 507 of the family's 1533-position model. The record is from RNAcentral.